Molecule: ribosomal RNA, 255 nt
Filed under: uncultured bacterium
Lineage: Bacteria
Description: partial 16S ribosomal RNA
Rfam family: Bacterial small subunit ribosomal RNA
Source: RNAcentral
UACAGAGGUCCCAAGCGUUACUGAGAAUCACUGGGUUUAAAGGGUGCGUAGGUGGUCCGUUAAGUCAGUUGUGAAAUCCCCGGGCUCAACCCGGGAACUGCUUCUGAUACUGGCGGACUUGAGGCCAGUAGGGGUCACUAGAACUGACGGUGGAGCGGUGAAAUGCGUAGAUAUCGUCAGGAAUGCCGGUGGUGAAGACGGGUGACUGGGCUGGUUCUGGACACUGAGGCACGAAAGCGUGGGGAGCGAACGGGG